GGGGGUGCACUGGUUUCGACGGGGGUCGCGAAGUCGCUUGGCGCAUGCCGAGGGGGCAGCUUUCCUCGUUAAUCCAGCAGCAAACUUUUAGUUGCCAACGAUGACAACUACGGUUCGGACUUCGCUAUCGCCGCUUAAUUGGCUUUAGUUGUAGUUCUACAGCCGCCUAAGGCGAACCCCCGAACCUACUUGUGCCCGUGCUCGUAGGUGUAGGGUCAUUAUCACGGAACCAUCGGUAGUGGCUGCCUGUCAGCUACCGGUCAGAUAAAGCAGGCUGGUUUCCAGGUGCGCUUUGCCAACCGUGCUGCCUGGGAACGAGAUCUAACGGAGGGCUAAGCAUGUAGUGCUGGGGAUGGAGUGCUUCCGGACGGCGGUUCGAUUCCGCCCACCUCCACCAUCU
This is a transfer-messenger RNA of 400 nucleotides. It matches the Rfam family "transfer-messenger RNA". Rfam says of the family: Bacterial tmRNA, also known as 10Sa RNA or SsrA, is named for its dual tRNA and mRNA-like properties. Its role is to liberate the mRNA from a stalled ribosome. To accomplish this part of the tmRNA is used as a reading frame that ends in a translation stop signal.